UGUGGGAGAAGAUUCCUCUCGGGUGCAGAUGGAUGCAGCUGUAGAGCCUGCAGGUGUCCAACCAGUAAUCCGUACAAAACUGGAGUUUUCCAAAGGUGCUGAUGGCUCAAAGAAGCUAACUUACGAGGAAGAAGUGAAGCAAAAUGUUAAAACUGCAAAAGGAAAACAAGUUCCCAAGCUGAAGGAGCUUUUCUCAACUUUCUUAGAUUUGUUAAGGAGGAUAAACCAGGCAGAAUAAUGCAACUUUAUACAUAUUUACUAAUAAAAAUGCAGCACAAUG
This is a long non-coding RNA of Nothobranchius furzeri (turquoise killifish), 280 nucleotides long. RefSeq lists it as uncharacterized. Lineage: Eukaryota; Metazoa; Chordata; Actinopteri; Cyprinodontiformes; Nothobranchiidae. The record is from RefSeq and is a predicted model, not a curated record.